Molecule: ribosomal RNA, 1168 nt
Filed under: Metopograpsus thukuhar
Lineage: Eukaryota; Metazoa; Arthropoda; Malacostraca; Decapoda; Grapsidae
Description: 16S ribosomal RNA
Source: RNAcentral
GAUUAGAAAAGUUUGUUAAUAAAAUAUCUAGAACUAUGUCAAUAUAAGAAAAAUAAUUUUUAUUAAGUAUGAAUUUAGUAAUGUGUAAUAAAAAGUAAAGAAAGUAACUAUAGAGUAGAAGUACUGUAAAGGAAAAGUUUAGAUAAUAAGAAAGUAAAAGUAAAAGUUUGUACCUUGUGUAUCAGGGAAGAUCAAUAUAAGCUAAAAUUAUAGGUAUCCCGAAAUAAAAAUAGCUAAUUUUAUAGAAAAGUUAUUGUAGAAAUAAUAUUUAAAAUAUAAAAUUAAGGGCGAAAUACUAAAGGAGUUUUAUUAUAUCUGGUUUUCUAAAAAUUAAGUUUAAUUUAGCUUUUAUACUAAAAUAGUGUGUAAAGGUAAAUUGUAGGAGGGACAAGCUUCUUACAAAAGAGUAAUAAAGAGCUGGCUUAUAAAUAUAGUAUAAAACUAGGCUUAAAAAGUAGCCACGUUAGUAAAGUGUUUCAACUGAAUAAAAAUGGUUAAAAAUAGUUUAUAAGAGCUUUGGGGAAUAUUAGAAAUUUUAUAUUAACUUAAAAUAAUAAAGGUAUAAUGGUUUUAUUAGUAAAAAGUAGUGUUUAGUUGUGUGAGGAAUAUUUAAAGUGUGAGUUAUACAUAAGUUUAAAGUAUUAUAAAGGAACUCGGCAAGUUUUUUUCUUUGCCUGUUUAUCAAAAACAUGUCUAUUUGGAGAUAUAAAUAGUCUAGUCUGCCCACUGAUAGUUAAUUUAAAGGGCCGCGGUAUAUUGACCGUGCAAAGGUAGCAUAAUCAUUAGUUUUUUAAUUGAAAUCUCGUAUGAACGGCUGGACAAAAGAAAGUCUGUCUCUAUAGUGGUUAUUGAAUUUAACUUUUGAGUGAAAAGGCUUAAAUAAAUUAAAAAGACGAUAAGACCCUAUAAAGCUUGACAUUAAUUGGAUAUUACACCGGAUUAUUUGGUUAUAAAGGUGUGUAAUGCAAUUUUUGUUUUAUUGGGGCGAUAGAGGUAAAAUUGUUGGUAACUGCUUAAAUUUUAUGACAGGAUAAGUGAAUAAUUAUUAUAAGAGAUCCCAAGAUAUGGAUUACAAGGUUAAGUUACUUUAGGGAUAACAGCGUAAUUUUUUUUAAGAGUUCUUAUCGAAAAAAAAGUUUGCGACCUCGAUGUUGAAUUAAAAUUUCUU